Molecule: ribosomal RNA, 856 nt
Filed under: Bacillus sp. (in: firmicutes)
Lineage: Bacteria; Bacillati; Bacillota; Bacilli; Caryophanales; Bacillaceae
Description: bacterial SSU rRNA
Rfam family: Bacterial small subunit ribosomal RNA
Source: RNAcentral
UCUCAGGACGAACGCUGGCGGCGUGCCUAAUACAUGCAAGUCGAGCGGACAGAUGGGAGCUUGCUCCCUGAUGUUAGCGGCGGACGGGUGAGUAACACGUGGGUAACCUGCCUGUAAGACUGGGAUAACUCCGGGAAACCGGGGCUAAUACCGGAUGGUUGUUUGAACCGCAUGGUUCAAACAUAAAAGGUGGCUUUGGCUACCACUUACAGAUGGACCCGCGGCGCAUUAGCUAGUUGGUGAGGUAACGGCUCACCAAGGCAACGAUGCGUAGCCGACCUGAGAGGGUGAUCGGCCACACUGGGACUGAGACACGGCCCAGACUCCUACGGGAGGCAGCAGUAGGGAAUCUUCCGCAAUGGACGAAAGUCUGACGGAGCAACGCCGCGUGAGUGAUGAAGGUUUUCGGAUCGUAAAGCUCUGUUGUUAGGGAAGAACAAGUACCGUUCGAAUAGGGCGGUACCUUGACGGUACCUAACCAGAAAGCCACGGCUAACUACGUGCCAGCAGCCGCGGUAAUACGUAGGUGGCAAGCGUUGUCCGGAAUUAUUGGGCGUAAAGGGCUCGCAGGCGGUUUCUUAAGUCUGAUGUGAAAGCCCCCGGCUCAACCGGGGAGGGUCAUUGGAAACUGGGGAACUUGAGUGCAGAAGAGGAGAGUGGAAUUCCACGUGUAGCGGUGAAAUGCGUAGAGAUGUGGAGGAACACCAGUGGCGAAGGCGACUCUCUGGUCUGUAACUGACGCUGAGGAGCGAAAGCGUGGGGAGCGAACAGGAUUAGAUACCCUGGUAGUCCACGCCGUAAACGAUGAGUGCUAAGUGUUAGGGGGUUUCCGCCCCUUAGUGCUGCAGCUAACGCA